RNAcentral lists this ribosomal RNA (253 nucleotides) under uncultured bacterium. RNAcentral describes it as "partial 16S ribosomal RNA". It matches the Rfam family "Bacterial small subunit ribosomal RNA", at positions 524 to 776 of the family's 1533-position model. The record is from RNAcentral.
UACGUAGGUGGCAAGCGUUGUCCGGAUUUACUGGGUGUAAAGGGCGUGCAGCCGGGAAGACAAGUCAGAUGUGAAAUCCCGCGGCUCAACCGCGGAACUGCAUUUGAAACUGUUUUUCUUGAGUACCGGAGAGGUCAUCGGAAUUCCUUGUGUAGCGGUGAAAUGCGUAGAUAUAAGGAAGAACACCAGUGGCGAAGGCGGAUGACUGGACGGCAACUGACGGUGAGGCGCGAAAGCGUAGGGAGCAAACAGG